AGCGGCGGACGGGUGAGUAACGCGUGGGUAAUCUGCCUCAUACAGGGGGAUAACAGUUGGAAACGGCUGCUAAUACCGCAUAAGCGCACAGUACCGCAUGGUACGGUGUGAAAAACUCCGGUGGUAUGAGAUGGACCCGCGUCUGAUUAGGUAGUUGGUGGGGUAACGGCCUACCAAGCCGACGAUCAGUAGCCGACCUGAGAGGGUGACCGGCCACAUUGGGACUGAGACACGGCCCAA
This 240-nucleotide ribosomal RNA is filed under the name uncultured bacterium. RNAcentral describes it as "partial 16S ribosomal RNA". It matches the Rfam family "Bacterial small subunit ribosomal RNA", at positions 94 to 334 of the family's 1533-position model. The record is from RNAcentral.